RNAcentral lists this ribosomal RNA (400 nucleotides) under uncultured bacterium. Its description in RNAcentral is "bacterial SSU rRNA". It matches the Rfam family "Bacterial small subunit ribosomal RNA", at positions 338 to 744 of the family's 1533-position model. The record is from RNAcentral.
CCUACGGGGGGCAGCAGUGGGGAAUAUUGCACAAUGGGCGAAAGCCUGAUGCAGCGACGCCGCGUGAGGGAUGACGGCCUUCGGGUUGUAAACCUCUUUCAGUAGGGAAGAAGCCCCUUUUGGGGUGACGGUACUUGCAGAAGAAGCGCCGGCUAACUACGUGCCAGCAGCCGCGGUAAUACGUAGGGCGCAAGCGUUAUCCGGAAUUAUUGGGCGUAAAGAGCUCGUAGGCGGUUUGUCGCGUCUGCCGUGAAAGUCCGAGGCUCAACCUCGGAUCUGCGGUGGGUACGGGCAGACUAGAGUGAUGUAGGGGAGACUGGAAUUCCUGGUGUAGCGGUGAAAUGCGCAGAUAUCAGGAGGAACACCGAUGGCGAAGGCAGGUCUCUGGGCAUUUACUGAC